GCCUUUGUGGUGUAGUGGUCAGCACGCUCGACGCGUAUUCGAGAGGUCCAUGGUUCGAUUCCCGGAAAAGGCG
RNAcentral lists this transfer RNA (73 nucleotides) under Stegodyphus mimosarum. It matches the Rfam family "tRNA". Rfam says of the family: Transfer RNA (tRNA) molecules are approximately 80 nucleotides in length. Their secondary structure includes four short double-helical elements and three loops (D, anti-codon, and T loops). Lineage: Eukaryota; Metazoa; Arthropoda; Arachnida; Araneae; Eresidae. The record is from Rfam by way of RNAcentral.